CUAUAUAUAAAUCAUCUAGAAACCAACUAUAAACAUUACCUCAUACCUAUUUAUACCACAGCCUGAGAAGCUAUUUUAAGGCAGUCCACCCAAUGACCACAUACCUAUUUAUACCAGAGCUGAGAAUCUAUUUCAAUGCAGCCCCCUGGAUGAUCGCAUACCUAUUUAUAAAUCAGUCCCCGAGACUGACCAGACUGACCAGGCGGCUAUGCAUAUACCAGUCCUGAAGACUGACCACCCCCCAUACUGGACCUAACCCAGCCUCUGAUAACAUAUAUACACACCAGCCUCUGAGAAUGACCACCAAGGUUUCUGGUCGCUAUGGCACCGUUCCUUUAUAUGGCACUCGGGAUCUUCCAGAGCGAUACGAGAAAGGAAUCUUUUUUUGCGCUGUCCGAUGUUGGCGAGAUACAAUGUGGCAUUAUGUGUGUCCAAAACGGACGGUGUGACGCAAUCAACUACAACAGAAAUAAUCUCGUGUGUGAAUUGGUGGAGAAUACUGCUGUGGCAGUUCCUCAGACCUCCGGGUGGAAACACACAUCAGAAUUCGGUUUUAUUCCUAAGAAGUUGUGUGGUUUGGUAACAGUGUCCAGAUCGUUAUUGUGUGUACCACUGUCCAACAAAACCACUGUACUUAUCAAAAAUGGCAUGUAUUUUUUGUUUAUUAUUUUG
Molecule: long non-coding RNA, 672 nt
Organism: Pecten maximus
Lineage: Eukaryota; Metazoa; Mollusca; Bivalvia; Pectinida; Pectinidae
Exons: 3
Source: RefSeq, a predicted model, not a curated record